UCAGGAAAGUNUGGAGUAAAAGGCUAUGGCUCAACCAUAGUGUGCUCUGGAAACUNUCUGACUUGAGUGCAGAAGGGGAGAGUGGAAUUCCAUGUGUAGCGGUGAAAUGCGUAGAUAUAUGGAGGAACACCAGUGGCGAAGGCGGCUCUCUGGUCUGUCACUGACGCUGAGGCUNGAAAGCGUGGGUAGCGAACAGGAUUAGAUACCCUGGUAGUNCACGCCGUAAACGAUGAGUGCUAGGUGUUAGGCCCUUUCCGGGGCUUAGUGCCGGAGCUAACGCAAUAAGCACUCCGCCUGGGGAGUACGACCGCAAGGUUGAAACUCAAAGGAAUUGACGGGGGCCCGCACAAGCGGUGGAGCAUGUGGUUUAAUUCGAAGCAACGCGUAGAACCUUACCAGGUCUUGACAUCCCGAUGCUAUUCUUAGAGAUAGGAAGUUACUUCGGUACAUCGGAGACAGGUGGUGCAUGGUUGUCGUCAGCUCGUGUCGUGAGAUGUUGGGUUAAGUCCCGCAACGAGCGCAACCCUUAUUGUUAGUUGCCAUCAUUAAGUUGGGCACUCUAGCGAGACUGCCGGUAAUAAACCGGAGGAAGGUGGGGAUGACGUCAAAUCAUCAUGCCCCUUAUGACCUGGGCUACACACGUGCUACAAUGGUCGGUACAACGAGUUGCGAGCCGGUGACGGCAAGCUAAUCUCUGAAAGCCGAUCUCAGUUCGGAUUGGAGGCUGCAACUCGCCUCCAUGAAGUCGGAAUCGCUAGUAAUCGCGGAUCAGCACGCCGCGGUGAAUACGUUCCCGGGCCUUGUACACACCGCCCGUCACACCACGAGAGUUUGUAACACCCGAAGUCGGUGAGGUAACCUUUUAGGGGCAGCCGCC
This 877-nucleotide ribosomal RNA is filed under the name uncultured bacterium. RNAcentral describes it as "bacterial SSU rRNA". It matches the Rfam family "Bacterial small subunit ribosomal RNA", at positions 579 to 1457 of the family's 1533-position model. The record is from RNAcentral.